RNAcentral lists this long non-coding RNA (352 nucleotides) under Theobroma cacao (cacao). RNAcentral's name for it is "long non-coding RNA (TCAC_LNC005005)". The record is from RNAcentral. Lineage: Eukaryota; Viridiplantae; Streptophyta; Magnoliopsida; Malvales; Malvaceae.
AUAAGGAUAUCUAAGGCUUUUAAGAUCAAAAAGAGCUCAAAAUAGUAACAAAUUCUCUGUAUACUUUCUACACUUCACUCCAAUCCUUGUAAUAGAAUUAAGCACUUCACUUUGUACCUUUCAGAUCAGGUUAGUGAUAAUAGGUACUUCUUAAUUUCUACUCUUAUUGACUACUUAAGGUGUACGACACACUCUAAGGGGACUUAUUAAGCUUGGGUUAGCUUGAUUGAGUGUAUAGGUUCUAACUUAACUUAGGAAAAGUUAGUUUUUGGUUUUGGUUGAUCCCGAGAAAAACCAUUGUUAAAGGUUGUGGCUGAGCUUGUGAAAAGCCAUUGUAAAAGCUUGGUGAGAG